This 500-nucleotide long non-coding RNA is filed under the name Salvia miltiorrhiza (redroot sage). RNAcentral describes it as "long non-coding RNA (SMIL_LNC004228)". Lineage: Eukaryota; Viridiplantae; Streptophyta; Magnoliopsida; Lamiales; Lamiaceae. The record is from RNAcentral.
UCAAGUACUAUCUUGUUGUCUGAAAUAAAUUUAGUAAAAAAGCAUUCUUUUGUAAAAUAUUAAACUUGAAUAAAAGUAAAGUCUAUUAGGGAUGAAUAACUCUAAUUAAUACUCCAAUAUUAAAUCAAAAAACGAAACACGGGAAAAAUGAACGUAUAAUUUUUUAACAAUCUAUAAACAUGCUCCUGAAGACUGGAAAUCCGAAAGAAAAAANAAACAUCAAUAUGUAAGAUUGAGACUACUGAAAAAAAAAAAUGAAACCUAAAAACACUACUGGAAUAAACUGGGUGGAAGACUGCGACUCAUAUACCCGAGCCCAGAUAAGUACAUGGGCUUUGGAUUUAGAACAAAAUACUAACUGGGCCUAGUAGUUUCGGGGCCUGGUCCGCAGAUAUUGCACUCGAAAUCUAGUGUAAUUGAUUUUGGGCAAUUUUAAACAUAGCCCCAAAUCUCACCCUUUAGCCCCCUGAUUAAAUUAAUAAUAAAUUAAAUAAUAAAAG